RNAcentral lists this long non-coding RNA (757 nucleotides) under Brassica napus (rape). RNAcentral describes it as "long non-coding RNA (BNAP_LNC017588)". Lineage: Eukaryota; Viridiplantae; Streptophyta; Magnoliopsida; Brassicales; Brassicaceae. The record is from RNAcentral.
UCCAUGUAAGUGUAGAUGCGAGUUAAUGGCUUUGUGAAGAUGCAGUCGAACGUGUAUAUACGUUAUAACAAUAUGUUUCAUAAUUAUAUUUUAGUUACUUGCUAGUACGUUAGUGUAAAACGUGUGUUAGUAUAUUUUAAAACCUUAAACAAAUUUAAUAUUGGAUGGAGCUUCUUUGUAUAUUUGUGAGGUUCAAUAAGGCUUAUAGGUAUGUUAUAUCUAAUGGUUUAAUAAGAUGUUUUUGUAUUAUAUUAUCUUAUGUAUGAUUCUCAGAGUGUAUUGACUAUUGAGUUAGGUUGUGUAACUUUGUGCGUAUUGUGCUUUCCUCAAACAGUUUCAGGAUAUUUUUUUUUACUACACAUAUAUAAAGAUUGAAAGAUAUUAAUAUAAAUUCUGCGUGUUUUGAGGUGAAAGGGGAAAAAACUUUUACACAUAAAAAAGAUAUUAAUAUUAAUCUUAAUUAUGUUUUUGUCCAAACGGAAUAAUGUUUUAGUAGCUAUGUUGAGAUGUGAAUAAAAUACAUUUUACAUGUAAUACAAUUUAUAAUUCAUUUUAAUACAAUUUUUUUGAGAUGUAAGAUGAUUGGUUUAGUUAAAUAAAUAAAUAAUAGUAUAAGAUAAUAAUUAUGUCGAUUCAUUAUGUGAAUUUAUGGUAUGAUGAAUAUUUAACGUAAAAGUAGGAAUCUUUUUUAAUAUCUUGAUGUUAGUGGGAACUCCCCUAACGUAAAGUAUAUUCGUAUGUUAUAGUUCAAUAUAUG